Molecule: long non-coding RNA, 3876 nt
Organism: Magallana angulata
Lineage: Eukaryota; Metazoa; Mollusca; Bivalvia; Ostreida; Ostreidae
Exons: 8
Source: RefSeq, a predicted model, not a curated record
UUUACCACUUCAAUGCGUUUCAUUGUAGUGAGAACGAGAUGAAAAGUGAGCUUGAUCAAGAUUUGUUGCCAUUGAGCUAACAAUGUUUGAGAUAGUACUGACACAUUAAAUGUAUAUGCAAGAACCUACUAGUCUAAACGUAUACAACUUAAAUGAGCCUAAUAUGCUUAUGUAUUUCUCUCUAUAAUCAAAUCAAAUUUGGCGCAAAAAGCAAGAUGUUAUUAUUCGUACUUUGUAAAGCAUGUAUAACAAGUUUUUGCAUUAUUUUUUUUAGUAUAUUUUUUAAUGCUAAUAAACAGUUUUGCAUGAAUACGUUUUAAUUGACUUUAAUAAAUCACAACUAUUGUGAAUUAACAUACUCGGAUAUGUGAGCAUGAAUUUUGCAAAAAGUCCUCUUAAGCAAACAAGCUUUUAAGAAUUACUUCAUUAUAAUCUUCAUCUAUUUAAAUAAAUAUAGUAAAAAAUAUUAUCACUGGUAGUCAAGUGUUCUAUCAUUCUUGCAUUUUAAUUUUGCAUGACAAAUAGAUGAUAAGAUAUCGUCUUUUAUAAGCUUCACUAUGCCCUUUUAAUUUUUAUCAAUAUUCAUCAGUUAAUUAUAGGUAUUUAUCGGCAAUAAGUACUAAUAAUCAGCAUGCAAAGUAACGAGGUUUAUAUAAUUAAUACUUUAAAAAAAUUGAAGUUUUCUAAUUUUCAUUAACUUUUUAAAAUAUAAUUGAAUAAAUUAAAUUAUUCAAUAAAAGUAAAACAAUUUGAAUAAAAAUUAAGAUUAAAUAUAUUAAUUUUAUGUGAAAUGCAGUUUCCACAUCGUUACUAUUUCAGGCUUUAUCUAAGUUCAUUAUCUUUGCUUGAAAUUUGCUGGUUCUUGUAUUUUUACCAGAUUAAUUCGACAUUUACCAUAAUACAUAAUCCAGCGAUUUGUUGGAAUAGUAGUUGGAGUUUUGGCAACAGUAGCAAUACUGCUACUGGGUUUUGUUUGUAUAUCUUUACGACCACCCAGCCUUUUUAAUCUAACAUCGCUUGGGUCGCCGAUAUGUAAUGGAUUUUUUCGAUGAUUAUAAAAUGAAACCAUUUCAGAAUACAAAAAUUUAAGUAUGCAUUUUUAUCUAAUUUGCUUAAUUUCUAAUAUGAUGUCUUAGAUUUGAAUAUCUGUAAUUUUUUAUUGUAGACGUAGAAGCAAUAGCUUUUGCCGACGUCAUUACUCGCUAGGUAGCGUGCGUGCACUUAAGGAAAUAAAAAAAAAUUAAAAUGGCGGGCAAUUUAAACAGUAGGCGGUGCAACGUUUUAAUUUCGAGCUUGCUCAAAGAGGGGCAGCAUGUAGGGGAAUGAAGAUUGAUCUGAUCGAGAGGAGAGCCAUGGCUGAGAAGUAGACAUGCCUGCGGCACAUUAUUGUUCCCAAAUCCCCGCGUAUGUUGGGCCAAUGUUUGACCAAUGUCAUCGGUUACAAUGAACCAACGUUGGCAAUUUUGUUCAUCGGUCCAACGUUGGCCUAAUAAUACACAAACCAUGAUAAACAUCCUUAGAAAGAAAAAAUGGCCGAUGGUGUGUUAUGGCAAGCAUAGUUUCACAAGCAAAAACCACGAGUCUCUUUGUUUGCUAAACCUGCUAAAUGUGAGCAGAUCCAUCCCAACAGAUCAGAUAUUACAAUUACGGAUACCAUAGAAACUGGCCAGUCUCACGCUGUGAAAACUCCGUCCUAAUUGUUCGGUCAGUAAAUGUGCUCUUAUCUCAGGAUCGGCUUCUUAUAAUUCUACACUUAAGAACAAUUAUGCAAUAUCCAAUUAUUUUGCAGAAUCUUUUUGGUUCGGCUUUUUUACGCGCGUUUUUGAUUUUGACUUGUAUAUUUUCACUUGUUUUCGUUGAUGAUAUAAUAGCCAUUAUUGAUAUAUUUAGGCUUAAAAUUAUUUAAACAUCCAAAUAUUUCGGAAUUCUAUUAUAUAUAUUAAAUGUUUCAAUGUUUUUUGUAGAUAAAUGAAUAACCUGGAAUAUAUGUAAUCGACAAAAAAAUCUUAACAUACGACAUACGUUAGACCAAUAUUUGGCCAAUAUCAUGGUCUCACCUAAAAUGAUUAAUGUAACUUUAGCCUAGACUCUAAUACUCCAAAUAUCUAAGUAUUCCUUGUUUUUUUUAAACUGAUUUUGAAUUAAUUAAUUAAACUAAUUAAAAUUGGUUUAAUAGGCCAAGAAAACCUCAGAUCUUUUGGACUAUAUUUUGUCAUUGUACAUGUACAGGUUAACACAUGUGUAUCAAGGUCUACGGAUUGUAUUACUCUCUAGAAAUUUCAGGCUUGAAUUGCAUGACAGAUAUAAGAAUUUCAGAGAAGAUUCCAUCAAAAUUCCAGAGCCAUUAGAUGUAUUCUGGCCUAUAACUGGUUUCCAGCAACUCAGACCAGAACACAAGCCAAUGCACAGUUACCAUAUCACCAGAUUGAACAAUACUUUCUGUCUAGAAUGAAGACAAACAGAUGAUAUCGAACCUUAAAGCAUUGGAAAAGGGAAAGGACCACCUAACUGGAGAGAGAAUUUUUUAAUGCAGCAUUAGGUAAACUACUAGAAGUAGAGAGAAGCUCUUGGAAAAGAAAACACACCGAUGAAAUGCUGGAGGAUUUAAGGAAAGACAAGUCUCUUCAAAAGAUGCCAAGGACAUAGGGGAAUCUACAAGGAUGCAAGCCAAGAGUAAAACCUAAUGCUUGUUCGAUAGAAGAAAAUUUGUUAAUUACUGCCUCACGUUUCGGUGACAUUGUAAAAAAUGAUUUGCUGCAGAGACACUAGAAAAUUGUAUUCUAGCAUUUACCAACAUACGAUACGUCAAUCAUCACAUAUACCAGUAUUUAUAGUAGGCAGCAUGAGAGUAGAGCAAUUUCCAUGUUUGAAGAACUGACUCAUUUCAAUGUCUCAAGAGUGUGGGUUGUGUCUGUCAAAUACCCUUACCUUGCUACACCAGAUGUUUUAGUAGGGAAUGGAGCCAUGGUAGAAGUUAAAUGCCCAUAUGGUGGUAGAGAUGAUGAUAUUCUUUCUGUGAAGAAAUUCCCAAUUUUUGUUGAACCAAAUGGUAAAAUUACAUUGUAAUCAAGUCAUAAAUACCAUGACCAAAUCCAAGACUACUGUAUAUUUCAGGUACAAUACUCUGCUACUUCAUUGUAUACACAUUUUGUAACAUUUUGAUCUUGAAACUUGAAUAUGAUGAUGAAUAUUAUCUGUUUAGUUUAUUGCUAAAACUAGAAAUGUUCUACAAGAAACAUUUCAGACCAAAUGUUGCUUCUUGUUUGUAAUAAGCGUAUAUUCUAUUAGUUUUCAUGCACAUGUAAGCUUAUUAACAUAUUAUACACUUCAUUGUUGAAGUUUUUUGGUGCACUAGAUAUAGCAGAAAGAAGAUAGAAUGUACAUUUUUGAUGCAGUGGCUUGGUAUUUGCAUCUUCAUUUGAAGUUACAUUAAACUCAUUCUUUUUUGUAACAUAAGUCAAUCAGUAAUACUACUGUUCUGUAUGAAUAUAAUAUACAAUUAUACCCCCGCUCCGAAAGGGGGGAGAUAUACUUUUUUACCCUUAUGUGUCUGUCUGGCUAUCGGUAUUAAAUAUCUGCAAAUUUUAUUUCAGAAAAUAUUAACUGCAGCUGCUUUAAAUUUUAACACUCUUUAUUAAAUAUGCCAUAUGGUGGGAUUCAUUUCAAAUUCAUAACAAAUUCAAUAUCAACCUCAAGUUAAAUUUAUGUUUAUUCAUUAUAUAUUACUAGAAAUGUGAGAGAAGAAAACUGAAGAUGUAGUUCAAUAAAAUUUUAUCAUCUCUUGAUCUGUACAAAUUUGAAUUUAAUUAUUUGACAUUUGUAAUUGUUAAUGUUUUUAUCUUAACAAUACCAGUAAUUAAAACAGACUCUUGUUAU